CGAAAGCCUGACGGAGCAACGCCGCGUGAGGGAUGAAGGCCUCUGGGCUGUAAACCUCUUUUAUCAAGGAAGAAGAUCUGACGGUACUUGAUGAAUAAGCCACGGCUAAUUCCGUGCCAGCAGCCGCGGUAAUACGGGAGUGGCAAGCGUUAUCCGGAAUUAUUGGGCGUAAAGCGUCCGCAGGCGGUCUUGUAAGUCUGUCGUUAAAGCGUGGAGCUUAACUCCAUUUAAGCGAAGGAAACUGCAAGACUAGAGUGUGGUAGGGGCAGAGGGAAUUCCCGGUGUAGCGGUGAAAUGCGUAGAUAUCGGGAAGAACACCAGUGGCGAAGGCGCUCUGCUGGGCCAUAACUGACGCUCAUGGACGAAAGCCAGGGGAGCG
RNAcentral lists this ribosomal RNA (379 nucleotides) under uncultured cyanobacterium. RNAcentral's name for it is "bacterial SSU rRNA". It matches the Rfam family "Bacterial small subunit ribosomal RNA", at positions 376 to 770 of the family's 1533-position model. The record is from RNAcentral. Lineage: Bacteria; Bacillati; Cyanobacteriota.